UUCCAUUGUCGUCCAGCUGUUAGGAUAUCUGGCUUUCAUCCAGGAGACCCGGUUUCGAUUCCUGGCAAAGGAACC
RNAcentral lists this transfer RNA (75 nucleotides) under Helianthus annuus (common sunflower). Its description in RNAcentral is "tRNA HanXRQr2_Chr11g0512511". It matches the Rfam family "tRNA". From Rfam's summary of the family: Transfer RNA (tRNA) molecules are approximately 80 nucleotides in length. Their secondary structure includes four short double-helical elements and three loops (D, anti-codon, and T loops). The record is from RNAcentral. Lineage: Eukaryota; Viridiplantae; Streptophyta; Magnoliopsida; Asterales; Asteraceae.